Erinaceus europaeus (western European hedgehog) is the source of this 278-nucleotide unclassified non-coding RNA. Its record names the gene 7SK. It matches the Rfam family "7SK RNA". Rfam says of the family: 7SK was discovered as an abundant small nuclear RNA in the mid-70s but a possible function has only recently been suggested. Two independent studies have found that 7SK RNA binds the CDK9/cyclin T complex (known as elongation factor P-TEFb). P-TEFb activates transcription by phosphorylating the C-terminal domain of RNA polymerase II. The record is from Ensembl. NCBI's taxonomy places the organism in Eukaryota, Metazoa, Chordata, Mammalia, Eulipotyphla, Erinaceidae.
GGAUGUGAAGGCUGUCUGGCUGAGACAUCUGUCACCCCAUUGAUCGCCAGGGUUGAUGUAGCUGAUCUGGCUGGCUAGGCGGGUGUCCCCUUCUUCCCUCAUAGCUCCAUGUACUUCCCUUCCAAAGCUGCACACUCCGUCAAAGAGGGCAGACUUCCCUGAAUAGAGAUAGACCAGUCUUGAGAAUAUACCAGUAGCUGUGCUCCCUUGCUAGAACCUCCUUUGCUCUCAAGAAUCCUUGGCUAACAUUACUAUAUAUACUUUAGGAUUCCAACUUC